Molecule: ribosomal RNA, 137 nt
Filed under: uncultured bacterium
Lineage: Bacteria
Description: partial 16S ribosomal RNA
Rfam family: Bacterial small subunit ribosomal RNA
Source: RNAcentral
UGGGGGCAACCCUGAUCCAGCGAUGCCGCGUGAGUGAUGAAGGCCUUAGGGUUGUAAAACUCUUUCGCUAGGGAAGAUAAUGACGGUACCUAGUAAAGAAGAUCCGGCUAACUCCGUGCCAGCAGCCGCGGUAAUAC